UACGUAGGGCGCGAGCGUUGUCCGGAAUUAUUGGGCGUAAAGAGCUCGUAGGCGGUCUGUCGCGUCUGCUGUGAAAACUCAGGGCUUAACCCUGAGCUUGCAGUGGGUACGGGCAGACUAGAGUGCGGUAGGGGAGACUGGAAUUCCUGGUGUAGCGGUGAAAUGCGCAGAUAUCAGGAGGAACACCGGUGGCGAAGGCGGCCAUCUGGCUCGGUACUGACGCUCAGGCG
This 230-nucleotide ribosomal RNA is filed under the name uncultured bacterium. RNAcentral describes it as "partial 16S ribosomal RNA". It matches the Rfam family "Bacterial small subunit ribosomal RNA", at positions 524 to 753 of the family's 1533-position model. The record is from RNAcentral.